Molecule: ribosomal RNA, 468 nt
Filed under: uncultured bacterium
Lineage: Bacteria
Description: partial 16S ribosomal RNA
Rfam family: Bacterial small subunit ribosomal RNA
Source: RNAcentral
GACGAACGCUGGCGGCGUGCUUAACACAUGCCAGUCGAACGGCAAGGCCCUGCUUUUGUGGGGUGCUCGAGUGGCGAACGGGUGAGUAACACGUGAGUAACCUGCCCUUGACUUUGGGAUAACUUCAGGAAACUGGGGCUAAUACCGGAUAGCAGCUCCUGCUGCAUGGUGGGCGUUGGAAAGUUUCGGCGGUUGGGGAUGGACUCGCGGCUUAUCAGCUUGUUGGUGGGGGAGUGGCUUACCAAGGCUUUGACGGGUAGCCGGCCUGAGAGGGUGACCGGCCACAUUGGGACUGAGAUAAGGCCCAGACUCCUACGGGAGGCAGCAGUGGGGAAUAUUGCACAAUGGGCGGAAGCCUGAUGCAGCAACGCCGCGUGCGGGAUGACGGCCUUCGGGUUGUAAACCGCUUUCGCCUGUGACGAAGCGUGAGUGACGGUAAUGGGUAAAGAAGCACCGGCUAACUACGUG